CAGCAGACAGCAGGCACAAAUCACACCAACUUGCUUCAAAUUCGAGACUAAGGACUACUAGUUGCAGGAAUGUUACUGCUCUUCUCAUGACAAACCAGCAUUGUGUAGAUUAUAAACAGAUGUAAGGAAAACGACGACGACUACUACUAACACAAGAUGAAGAUUAUCCUCUCAUCCUGUGUGGGUUGUACUCGAGUAUACUACUAGGACUCCCCUGUGGAAUGCGGUGGCAGAGGCUUCAGUCCUCUGUGUCCUUCGCCUCGGCUGCGACCUCCUGUGUGGCCGCCACCGCCGUAGUGUCUUCUGCAGUGUGCUCGGUCCCGAUCUCCUCCGCAGCGCCGGCGUCUGCUGCCACCACUAGGGUCUACUGGCGGAUGGUGCAGCUGGCGUGGAGGAAGCUCUCUGAACAGCAACGGAGGGCGUCGACGACAACCCUCAACGUGGCGUAGGGGCCGUAGAGCGGGUGAGCGUUCGCCUGGGCCACGAACACCUCCAUCAUCUUCGCCAAGGCCCUCGCUUGCGUGCUGAAGGAGCCACCUGCCACCACCGCGUCUGCCGCAGAAGCCUCGGACACGCCUAGACGAGGUGGAUGUGUGCCACCCUGGUCGGCUCACGGUGGAGCUCUGGGAUGACGUAAUCCUUGAAGAGCGCGACGACGUGAGAUGCUCGAUCCCCACGCUCUUGAGCGCGCAUCUGUUGCGGACCUCACCACCAAGUGCGACGCCCGCCUGGACCUGGAGCGACAGGAGCGCCAGGAAGGCCCCGGCCUCGCCCACCGUGACGAUGCUCGCUACGAACUCCUGGAGCGGUGGCUGGUGCUGCUUGGCGCGCUCGACGAAGACGGCCACACCUUCGGGUAGUCGGCCAGCUGGAGGGGCCCGGCGGCCGCCAUUUCCUCCUCUCUCGCGCGCUUAGGCCUGGUUCAGUUGUCAAUUUUUUUGGAUUUCGGGUACUGUAGCACUUUCGUUUGUAUUUGACAAAUAUUGUCUAAUCAUAAACUAAGUAGACUUAAAAAAAUUCGUCUCAUAAAUUGCAAGUAAACUUUAUAAUUUGUUUAUGUUUUCGUCUACACCUCUCUCCUGCGUGGGCUUAGAAAACGAAAGCUAAGGCCUUGUUUAGUUUCAAAUUUUUUUGAAAUGGGUAUCGUAGCACUUUCGUUUGUAUGUGACAACUAUUAUCCAAUUAUAGACUAACUAGGUUUAAAAGAUUCAUCUCGCAAAUUACAAGCAAACUAUAUAAUUAGUUUUUAUUUUUGUCUAUAUUUAAUGCUCCAGGCAUGUGUCU
RNAcentral lists this long non-coding RNA (1284 nucleotides) under Sorghum bicolor (sorghum). Its description in RNAcentral is "long non-coding RNA (SBIC_LNC011540)". Lineage: Eukaryota; Viridiplantae; Streptophyta; Magnoliopsida; Poales; Poaceae. The record is from RNAcentral.